This 24-nucleotide non-coding RNA is filed under the name Rattus norvegicus (Norway rat). Lineage: Eukaryota; Metazoa; Chordata; Mammalia; Rodentia; Muridae. The record is from RNAcentral.
UGGAAGGAGGCUUCCCCCUGGGUC